RNAcentral lists this ribosomal RNA (436 nucleotides) under uncultured bacterium. RNAcentral describes it as "bacterial SSU rRNA". It matches the Rfam family "Bacterial small subunit ribosomal RNA", at positions 339 to 791 of the family's 1533-position model. The record is from RNAcentral.
CUACGGGAGGCAGCAGUAGGGAAUAUUGCUCAAUGGGCGAAAGCCUGAAGCAGCAACGCCGCGUGUGCGAAGAAGGCCUUCGGGUCGUAAAGCACUUUUCUGAGAGAUGAGAAAGGACAGUAUCUCAGGAAUAAGUCUCGGCUAACUACGUGCCAGCAGCCGCGGUAAAACGUAGGAGGCAAGCGUUAUCCGGAUUCACUGGGCGUAAAGCGCGUGCAGGCGGUUCGGUAAGUUGGGCGUGAAAUCUCCUGGCUUAACUAGGAGAGGUCGUUCAAUACUACCGGGCUAGAGAGUGGUAGAGGAAGAUGGAAUAUCCGGUGUAGUGGUGAAAUGCGUAGAUAUCGGGAGGAACACCAGUGGCGAAAGCGAUCUUCUGGACCAUUUCUGACGCUCAGACGCGAAAGCUAGGGUAGUAAACGGGAUUAGAUACCCUAGU